GCCCGGUUAGCUCAGUUGGUAGAGCGCAGGACUUAUAAUCCUGAUGUCGAGGGUUCAACUCCCUUAUCGUGCG
This 73-nucleotide transfer RNA is filed under the name Daphnia magna. It matches the Rfam family "tRNA". Rfam says of the family: Transfer RNA (tRNA) molecules are approximately 80 nucleotides in length. Their secondary structure includes four short double-helical elements and three loops (D, anti-codon, and T loops). Lineage: Eukaryota; Metazoa; Arthropoda; Branchiopoda; Diplostraca; Daphniidae. The record is from Rfam by way of RNAcentral.